Molecule: ribosomal RNA, 314 nt
Filed under: Pseudomonas sp.
Lineage: Bacteria; Pseudomonadati; Pseudomonadota; Gammaproteobacteria; Pseudomonadales; Pseudomonadaceae
Description: bacterial SSU rRNA
Rfam family: Bacterial small subunit ribosomal RNA
Source: RNAcentral
UGGGCACUCUAAGGAGACUGCCGGUGACAAACCGGAGGAAGGUGGGGAUGACGUCAAGUCAUCAUGGCCCUUACGGCCUGGGCUACACACGUGCUACAAUGGUCGGUACAGAGGGUCGCCAAGCCGCGAGGUGGAGCUAAUCUCACAAAACCGAUCGUAGUCCGGAUCGCAGUCUGCAACUCGACUGCGUGAAGUCGGAAUCGCUAGUAAUCGCGAAUCAGAAUGUCGCGGUGAAUACGUUCCCGGGCCUUGUACACACCGCCCGUCACACCAUGGGAGUGGGUUGCACCAGAAGUAGCUAGUCUAACCUCGGA